AACGAACGCUGGCGGCGUGGAUAAGACAUGCAAGUCGAACGCUGAUUUCAGGGUAGCAAUAUUCUGGAGUCGGAGUGGCGCAAGGGUGCGUAACACGUGGGUAAUUUGCCGUGAAGUUGGGGAUAACUCGCUGAAAGGCGAGCUAAUACCGAAUGUGAUCAUUGGAAGGCAUCUUCUGAUGAUUGAAGUUGGGGACCGCAAGGCCUGACGCUUCACGAUAAGCCCGCGGCCUAUCAGCUAG
RNAcentral lists this ribosomal RNA (241 nucleotides) under uncultured bacterium. RNAcentral's name for it is "partial 16S ribosomal RNA". It matches the Rfam family "Bacterial small subunit ribosomal RNA", at positions 29 to 248 of the family's 1533-position model. The record is from RNAcentral.